RNAcentral lists this unclassified non-coding RNA (20 nucleotides) under Mus musculus (house mouse). RNAcentral's name for it is "oocyte_clustered_small_RNA10670". The record is from RNAcentral. Lineage: Eukaryota; Metazoa; Chordata; Mammalia; Rodentia; Muridae.
GGUCACUUUCACGGGCACGG